RNAcentral lists this transfer RNA (99 nucleotides) under Culex quinquefasciatus (southern house mosquito). It matches the Rfam family "tRNA". Rfam says of the family: Transfer RNA (tRNA) molecules are approximately 80 nucleotides in length. Their secondary structure includes four short double-helical elements and three loops (D, anti-codon, and T loops). The record is from Rfam by way of RNAcentral. Lineage: Eukaryota; Metazoa; Arthropoda; Insecta; Diptera; Culicidae.
CCUUCGAUAGCUCAGUUGGUAGAGCGGUGGACUGUAGAAGCAGAAGAAGUCAGAUAUUCAGUAAUCCAUAGGUCGCUGGUUCAAAUCCGGCUCGAAGGA